Molecule: long non-coding RNA, 1061 nt
Organism: Acipenser ruthenus (sterlet)
Lineage: Eukaryota; Metazoa; Chordata; Actinopteri; Acipenseriformes; Acipenseridae
Exons: 3
Source: RefSeq, a predicted model, not a curated record
CACUCUGAAUAUCACCAUGAGUCUCUGCAUUCACUUUCAAUAUGAUAUUAAAUCAACUUCCAAAAUAAAAAAAUAAAAACCCUAUCGCUUCCGCAUAGCUUGGAAGUUGGAAGUUAUUCACAAUAUUUCCAUACUGUCCCAGUUUAAGAACUUUAUUCAUCUCUCAGGAUGUAUUGCUGUCUGUUAUAUAGAGAAGACUACAAUUCUCAGAGUUCGCAAACAUUUUCUUACAUAAAGAACAUGCAAACUCCCAGAAUUCCACUAAGCUCCUCCUUCUGUUACACAAUAGGCUUCAACUCAAGCCCCCUCCCUACACUCGUGAGUGUCAUUUUGUAUUACAGAGUGUUCCAUAAAGCAGGGAGUGGAGGUACAGAGAGAGAGAGACGCUAAAUAAAAAACUUCACACACAUCAAACGUUGAAACUUCCCAACCAAGGCAGAACAGCCAAGCUAGCAAAGAUGGUCUGACUUCUCAUUAAAGCCUGUAGCUACGUGGUGAGGAAGAUUACGGCUGCUGUCAAUGAGGGGGACCAGCCAGAGACGCCCAACACAUCGUCAUGUAGUCAGGUUAGAGAUAAAAAGGGGGAUGAAUUGAAGUCUGGUCAGACAGCAGCGAUGCUGAGUACUGACCCGAGCCCCUCUGCACCCCCACGAGACAGGGCUGUGCAGCAGUGCAGCUCCUGAGGGUAAAUAUCGCACUGACUGAGGAAGGGAUGUGUGGGUAAUGAGGCCAGAAAACUGAAGAACACCAUAACAACUGCCAUCUUGGUUAUAGUGGCACCUCCGUAUACAUAUAAAUUAUAAAGUGUGUAUGGAACAUAUAUCAGCUUUUAAGAAAUAUACCUUUCAUUUCUGUCAAUCUAAGAGUACUACAUACCCACGUCAGCUCCCAACCACACAACCCAGUCAGUGCAGUAAGCUGAUCUCCUGAUUGGCUAAUUGUGCAGCAACAAAUGAAGGCUUGUUCAUCAACUCCCUGCAUCUCGGAGCUGGUCAGGUCUGAAAAUGAGAGUUUUUGCUGUGUCACUAAAAUUUGUAUUAAUAAAGUUUUUCACCUAAGUA